UACGUAGGGCGCAAGCGUUAUCCGGAAUUAUUGGGCGUAAAGAGCUCGUAGGCGGUUUGUCGCGUCUGCCGUGAAAGUCCGGGGCUCAACUCCGGAUCUGCGGUGGGUACGGGCAGACUAGAGUGAUGUAGGGGAGAUCGGAAUUCCUGGUGUAGCGGUGAAAUGCGCAGAUAUCAGGAGGAACACCGGUGGCGAAGGCGGGUCUCUGGGCCGUAACUGACGCUGAGGAGCGAAAGCGUGGGGAGCGAACAGG
Molecule: ribosomal RNA, 253 nt
Filed under: uncultured bacterium
Lineage: Bacteria
Description: partial 16S ribosomal RNA
Rfam family: Bacterial small subunit ribosomal RNA
Source: RNAcentral